GAUGAACGCUGGCGGCGUGCUUAACACAUGCAAGUCGAGCGGGCAAUUUAUCUAGCACUGAUUACUUCAAAUGGCUAUCGCCAGUGUAAUCAUGAAUUUCUACCUUUUAAUAAAGAAAAAAGAAAUUCAUGUACGCAAAUAGUGAUAACACAUUUUAGUGGAGUGAUGAGUGCUGGAUAAAUUGCUAGCGGCGGACGGGUGCGUAACACGUGGGUAACCUGCCCCUAUCACUGGGAUAACACACUGAAAAGUGUGCUAAUACCAGAUAACAUAAGCUUUUGGCAUCAUUAGCUUAUCAAAGAAUUUCGGAUAGGGAUGGGCCCGCGUCUGAUUAGCUUGUUGGUGAGGUAACGGCUCACCAAGGCAACGAUCAGUAGCCGACCUGAGAGGGUGAUCGGCCACACUGGAACUGAGACACGGUCCAGACUCCUACGGGAGGCAGCAGUGGGGAAUAUUGCACAAUGGGCGAAAGCCUGAUGCAGCAACGCCGCGUGAGCGAUGAAGGCCUUCGGGUCGUAAAGCUCUGUCCUAUGGGAAGAUAAUGACGGUACCAUAGGAGGAAGCCCCGGCUAACUACGUGCCAGCAGCCGCGGUAAUACGUAGGGGGCAAGCGUUAUCCGGAAUUACUGGGCGUAAAGGGUGCGUAGGCGGUUUAUCAAGUCAGGGGUGAAAGGCUACGGCUCAACCGUAGUGAGCCUCUGAAACUGGUGAACUUGAGUGUAGGAGAGGAAAGUGGAAUUCCCAGUGUAGCGGUGAAAUGCGUAGAUAUUGGGAGGAACACCAGUGGCGAACGCGACUUUCUGGACUACAACUGACGCUGAGGCACGAAAGCGUGGGGAGCAAACAGGAUUAGAUACCC
This 859-nucleotide ribosomal RNA is filed under the name uncultured bacterium. RNAcentral describes it as "bacterial SSU rRNA". It matches the Rfam family "Bacterial small subunit ribosomal RNA", at positions 28 to 787 of the family's 1533-position model. The record is from RNAcentral.